UAGGAUUGAAAUGCAGCUAAGCUGUCAUAAGCCCAAGACGCACUUAAAGUCACCUUCAAGAUGAUCCUAGCGCCUCUGAUUAAUUUAACCCCACGAAAGCUAGGGCACAAACUGGGAUUAGAUACCCCAUUAUGCCUAGCCCUAAAUCUUGAUGCUUACCACACUAAAGCAUCCGCCGGAGAACUACGAGCACAAACGCUUAAAACUCUAAGGACUUGGCGGUGCCCUAAACCCACCUAGAGGAGCCUGUUCUAUAAUCGAUAAUCCACGAUUUACCCAACCACCUCUCGCCAAAGCAGCCUACAUACCGCCGUCGCCAGCCCACCUCCUCUGAGAGCCCUACAGUGGGCAUAAUAGCCCAACCCGCUAAUAAGACAGGUCAAGGUAUAGCCUAUGGGGUGGAAGAAAUGGGCUACAUUUUCUAUAAUAGAAAACCCACGAAAGAGGACAUGAAACAGUCCACGGAAGGCGGAUUUAGCAGUAAAGUGGGACAAUAGAGCCCCCUUUAAGUCGGCCCUGGGGCACGUACAUACCGCCCGUCACCCUCC
RNAcentral lists this ribosomal RNA (548 nucleotides) under Uria aalge aalge. RNAcentral's name for it is "partial 12S ribosomal RNA". It matches the Rfam family "Bacterial small subunit ribosomal RNA", at positions 657 to 1405 of the family's 1533-position model. Lineage: Eukaryota; Metazoa; Chordata; Aves; Charadriiformes; Alcidae. RNAcentral also lists the same sequence under 1 other name. The record is from RNAcentral.